UACGGAGGGUGCAAGCGUUGUUCGGAAUUACUGGGCGUAAAGGGCUCGUAGGCGGCCAACUAAGUCAGACGUGAAAUCCCUCGGCUUAACCGGGGAACUGCAUCUGAUACUGGAUGGCUUGAGUUCGGGAGAGGGAUGCGGAAUUCCAGGUGUAGCGGUGAAAUGCGUAGAUAUCUGGAGGAACACCGGUGGCGAAGGCGGCAUCCUGGACCGACACUGACGCUGAGGAGCGAAAGCCAGGGGAGCAAACGGG
RNAcentral lists this ribosomal RNA (253 nucleotides) under uncultured bacterium. RNAcentral describes it as "partial 16S ribosomal RNA". It matches the Rfam family "Bacterial small subunit ribosomal RNA", at positions 524 to 776 of the family's 1533-position model. The record is from RNAcentral.